RNAcentral lists this ribosomal RNA (460 nucleotides) under uncultured bacterium. RNAcentral describes it as "partial 16S ribosomal RNA". It matches the Rfam family "Bacterial small subunit ribosomal RNA", at positions 338 to 795 of the family's 1533-position model. The record is from RNAcentral.
CCUACGGGGUGCUGCAGUGAGGAAUAUUGGUCAAUGGACGAGAGUCUGAACGAGCCAAGUAGCGUGAAGGAUGACUGCCCUAUGGGUUGUAAACUUCUUUUAUAAAGGAAUAAAACGAGGCACGUGUGCCUUUUUGCAUGUACUUUAUGAAUAAGGAUCGGCUAACUCAGUGCCAGCAGCCGCGGUAAUACGGAGGAUCCGAGCGUUAUCCGGAUUUAUUUGGUGUAAAGGGAGCGUAGAUGGGUUGUUAAGUCAGUUGUGAAAGUUUGCGGCUCAACCGUAAAAUUGCAAUUGAUACUGGCAGUCUUGAGUACAGUUGAGGUAGGCGGAAUUCGUGGUGUAGCGGUGAAAUGCUUAGAUAUCACGAAGAACCCCGAUGGCGAAGGCAGCUUACUAAACUGUGACUGACAUUGAUGCUCGAAAGUAUGGGUAUCAAACAGGAUUAGAUACCCGGGUAGUC